GGGGGAUGUCAAAGAUACUCUUCUCCCUCGACUCCAUCAGGAUCUGCGCAUGGAGAGCAGAAAGAGGAGUAUAGGAGUCAUACCUGCUGUCAUAAUUGUUAGGCUUUGGACUCUGUCGGUGGGGUGAAGCUCCUUUAUUAAUUAUUGAUCGAUUUGGUUCGGCCAGAACUCCGCCUUUCUUUUGCUUCUUUUUCUAACUUUUUUCUUCUGUCUGACGUCGGUCAGAAGCACUUUCAUCUGUGCGAAUAUACUUAUAUGCGCACUUCAAAAGUUCAGCGGAAGUUUGAGGAAGAGUUUUAUCCAGAGAUAAGUAAACCUGGAUCCCUUCAGAUCUCUCUUCAUGGUCGAGAUGGCCAUAUCUUCAUUGAGGUCUCUGACCUCAAAUGUGGCCACGUUAAAGCGAGCCAUGAAAUCUCUCAAUGUCUUUGUCUCACCUUGCUUGAUGGAGAAGAGAAUAUCUGAUGUCUGCGGCACCUUUCAGCUAGUGCUAAAAUAGACCACGAACGAAUGUUCCAGCUACUCGAAAGAACUUAUGCUCCUCA
RNAcentral lists this long non-coding RNA (542 nucleotides) under Elaeis guineensis (African oil palm). RNAcentral's name for it is "long non-coding RNA (EGUI_LNC010824)". The record is from RNAcentral. Lineage: Eukaryota; Viridiplantae; Streptophyta; Magnoliopsida; Arecales; Arecaceae.